Molecule: non-coding RNA, 27 nt
Filed under: Homo sapiens (human)
Lineage: Eukaryota; Metazoa; Chordata; Mammalia; Primates; Hominidae
Source: RNAcentral
UGAGUGAAGGUCCAGGAUCCAAACAGC